This is a long non-coding RNA of Mobula hypostoma (lesser devil ray), 855 nucleotides long. RefSeq lists it as uncharacterized. NCBI's taxonomy places the organism in Eukaryota, Metazoa, Chordata, Chondrichthyes, Myliobatiformes, Myliobatidae. The record is from RefSeq and is a predicted model, not a curated record. The transcript is spliced from 5 exons.
CUGUGAUACUGCCUGCUACAGGAAGGCAUUGGAGUUGGUGCAUGAAGACGGUGUGCAGUUUAACAAUGCCGCCUGACCAUCCAAGUUCCUCCAGCAUCUUGUUCGUUGCUUCCUGGAAAUCCCUUAACCAAAGGCCUAUCCAGCAUUGGAAAUGAGGAUGCCCAUACAACAGGGCUUUUCACUGGUGAACGCAGCAGGCCAGGCAGCAUCUAUAGGAAGAGGCGCAGUCGACGUUUCAGGCCGAGACCCUUCGUCAGGACUAACUGAAGGAAGAGAAUUCUGCAGAUGCUGGAAUUUCAAGCAACAUACAUCAAAGUUGCUGGUGAACGCAGCAGGCCAAGUAGCAUCUAUAGGAAGAGGCGCAGUCGACGUUUCAGGCCGAGACCUUUCGUCAGGACUAACUGAAGGAAGAAUUGUUUGUUGCUCCAGAUUUCAGCAUCUCUGUUUCCUGUGGUUUCCAACUAAAGGUGAGUGGCCAGAUCAAGAUGAAUUUAACUUAGUGUAAACAGAAGAGAUUCUGCAGGUGCCUCAAGACCAGGGUAACACCACAGCAGAUCAAGCAGCAUCUACGGAAAGGAAUAAAGAGUCGCAGUUUUGGGUCGAGACCCUUCAUCAUGACUGGAAAGUAAGGGGGAAGACUGGGAGGUCAUCAUAUACUACCCUGAGAUUCAUUUUCUUGUGGACAUUCACAGUAAAACAAAGACAUUCAAUAGAAUCAAUGAAAAACUACACUCAAAGGCUGUCAAACAACCAUUGUGCAAAAGAGGACAAUCUGUGCAAAUACAAAAAAAUGCAAAUAAUAAUAAUAAAUGAAUAGUAAAUUGUAAUACCUGAGAACAUGUGUUGUAAAGUCCU